GGAGAGCCCUACAGGAAGUGGGAAUAGCUUAGUCUUACUUUGUGCUGCUUUAGCGUGGCAACAGUCUCUUCUUCGUGCCAGCGGAUGAAAGCUUAAGCGAAAAAGCUGAAGUGCCGUUGUCACGUCGUUGUACGUGCCACUCAAAGAGUGUUACAAACGAUGGCGAGGACCGAGGAGCUUCACGUCAUUUCAACAGUCCAAGUACACCACCUUCUGAAAGAAAUGGCACUUCAUCAACUUGUCAAGUACAACCAGCAGUGGCACAAUUCAGGGGUGUCUACAUGGACUCACCCACAGUGGGUGAUCCACAGUGGAUUCAGUGGAUCCCCUUGGAUGGCUUAAU
Molecule: long non-coding RNA, 343 nt
Organism: Diceros bicornis minor
Lineage: Eukaryota; Metazoa; Chordata; Mammalia; Perissodactyla; Rhinocerotidae
Exons: 3
Source: RefSeq, a predicted model, not a curated record